CUCAAAGGAAUUGAGGGACCCGCACAAGCAGCGGAGUCGUGUGGUUUAAUUCGUUGCUACACGAAGAACCUUACCUGGGUUUGACAUAUAGGUUGUAGGGAACUGAAAAGGGACCGACCCUUCGGGGAGCCUAUACAGGUGUUGCAUGGCUGUCGUCAGCUCGUGUCGUGAGAUGUUCGGUUAAGUCCGCUAACGAGCGCAACCCUCGUCGUAUGUUAUAUGUGUCAUACGAGACUGCCGGUAAAAAGCCGGAGGAAGGUGAGGAUGAUGUCAAGUCAGCAUGACCUUUAUAUCCAGGGCUACACACACGCUACAAUGGUCUGUACAAUGGGUAGCCAAGCCGCGAGGCGGAGCCAAUCCUGAAAGCAGGCCUCAGUUCAGAUUGCAGUCUGCAACUCGACUGCAUGAAGCCGGAGUUGCUAGUAACCGCAGGUCAGCAAUACUGCGGUGAAUACGUUCCCGGGUCCU
RNAcentral lists this ribosomal RNA (468 nucleotides) under uncultured Anaerolineaceae bacterium. Its description in RNAcentral is "bacterial SSU rRNA". It matches the Rfam family "Bacterial small subunit ribosomal RNA", at positions 900 to 1382 of the family's 1533-position model. The record is from RNAcentral. Lineage: Bacteria; Bacillati; Chloroflexota; Anaerolineae; Anaerolineales; Anaerolineaceae.